This 229-nucleotide long non-coding RNA is filed under the name Gallus gallus (chicken). Lineage: Eukaryota; Metazoa; Chordata; Aves; Galliformes; Phasianidae. The record is from RNAcentral.
CUCGCGGGGUGCCGGCAGCCGCUCUGCGGCGGGGCGCGGCUCCGCUGUUCGUGCUGGGCGCCGCGACAUCGGUCCGGCCGUCAAAUCGAACGGGACGCCGACUGCCUAAUGCGGCCGCUUUGGGCGAAAGGUUGGACAGGAGCGCAGCGCUUACCCCUUCAGCGUGGAUCCCAGCUUUCUGAAGAGUCUGCAAUAAAGAACGUUACGCGCAGAACUAAAACUCCUCCUU